This 475-nucleotide long non-coding RNA is filed under the name Bos taurus (domestic cattle). RNAcentral describes it as "long non-coding RNA NONBTAT020473". The record is from RNAcentral. Lineage: Eukaryota; Metazoa; Chordata; Mammalia; Artiodactyla; Bovidae.
AGUAAAAAUGUAAAUUGUUUCUUGACUCAUUAAAUUCCUACUUUGAAACCAAGGGAAAAAAUAACCAAAUCAUAGUAUUUUCCUUCAAAUUUUAGACCUGUGGAUGAAUAAUAUUAUCUCUUAAUCAUGAACUGAAGAAUAGCCUCUUUGGGGAGCUAGCCCUCCUUCUUGCUCAGAAUCGGAGAGAUUUGCUAGAGAAGACCCAAUUCCUUCUACCGCAUGGCACUGUAGCUAAGGAUCCUCCAUGUCCCUUACUUUCAGGGUUGUGAUUAGGCUAUGCCGAUGUCACACCAUUUGUCUGUUUCUCCAUACAAGGCUUUCUGAGAACAUUUCCCCAUAUGCAUCCAGGAAUUGCUCUCCAGCUGCCUUGAAAGUUAGGUAGAAUAUGUAUUUGGCGAUUCAGGGAUUAUUUUUGGAACUCAAACAAUUAGACUUUGCCUACAAUACCUUAAAGAAGUUAUUUAUAUGCUACUGC